GACGAACGCUGGCGGCGUGCCUAAUACAUGCAAGUCGAACGCACUCUCGUUUAGAUUGAAGGAGCUUGCUCCUGAUUGAUAAACAUUUGAGUGAGUGGCGGACGGGUGAGUAACACGUGGGUAACCUGCCCUAAAGUGGGGGAUAACAUUUGGAAACAGAUACUAAUACCGCAUAAAACCUAACACCGCAUGGUGUAGGGUUGAAAGAUGGUUUCGGCUAUCACUUUAGGAUGGACCCGCGGUGCAUUAGUUAGUUGGUGAGGUAAAGGCUCACCAAGACCGUGAUGCAUAGCCGACCUGAGAGGGUAAUCGGCCACACUGGGACUGAGACACGGCCCAGACUCCUACGGGAGGCAGCAGUAGGGAAUCUUCCACAAAUGGACGAAAGUCUGAUGGAGCAACGCCGCGUGAGUGAAGAAGGUUUUCGGAUCGUAAAACUCUAGUU
This 445-nucleotide ribosomal RNA is filed under the name uncultured bacterium. RNAcentral's name for it is "bacterial SSU rRNA". It matches the Rfam family "Bacterial small subunit ribosomal RNA", at positions 28 to 438 of the family's 1533-position model. The record is from RNAcentral.